RNAcentral lists this ribosomal RNA (472 nucleotides) under uncultured bacterium. Its description in RNAcentral is "bacterial SSU rRNA". It matches the Rfam family "Bacterial small subunit ribosomal RNA", at positions 8 to 526 of the family's 1533-position model. The record is from RNAcentral.
AGAGUUUGAUCAUGGCUCAGAACGAACGCUGGCGGCAGGCCUAACACAUGCAAGUCGAACGCUGUAGCAAUACAGAGUGGCGCACGGGUGAGUAACGCGUGGGAAUGUACCAUUUAGUGGGGGAUAACUUCGGGAAACUGGAGCUAAUACCGCAUACGCCCGAGAGGGGAAAGAUUUAUCGCUAAAUGAUCAGCCCGCGUGAGAUUAGGUAGUUGGUGGGGUAAUGGCCUACCAAGCCUACGAUCUCUAGCUGGUCUGAGAGGAUGAUCAGCCACACUGGAACUGAGACACGGUCCAGACUCCUACGGGAGGCAGCAGUGGGGAAUAUUGGGCAAUGGACGAAAGUCUGACCCAGCCAUGCCGCGUGAGUGAUGAAGGCUCUAGGGUUGUAAAGCUCUUUCGCCGAUGAAGAUAAUGACGGUAGUCGGAGAAGAAGCCCCGGCUAACUUCGUGCCAGCCGCCGCGGUAAUAC